Non-coding RNA from Felis catus (domestic cat), 85 nucleotides. NCBI's taxonomy places the organism in Eukaryota, Metazoa, Chordata, Mammalia, Carnivora, Felidae. The record is from Rfam.
GCCUGGGUGGCUCAGUUGGUUGAGCAGCCGACUUCGGCUCAGGUCACGAUCUCGCAGUCCGUGAGUUCGAGCCCCGCAUCAGGCU